CGGCGUGCUUAACACAUCGCAAGUUCGAACGAGGAAAGCGGUGCCUCGCACCGUGGAAUCAUCGGCGAAACGGGUGAGUAAUACGUGAGUCGACCUACCUUUCGACUUCUGGGAUAAGCCUGGGAAACUGGGUCUAAUACCGGAUACGACCAAUCUCUGCAUCGGGGUCGUUCGGUCGGAAAGCGUUAUGGAGUCGGUUUUAGAUGGGCUCACGGCCUAUCAGCUUCGUUUGGUGAGGUAAUGGCUUACCAAGGCGACGACGGGUAGCCGGCCUGAGAGGGUGACCGGCCACACUGGGACUGAGACACGGCCCAGACUCCUACGGGAGGCAGCAGUGGGGAAUAUUGCACAAUGGGCGCAAGCCUGAUGCAGCGACGCCGCGUGAGGGAUGACGGCCUUCGGGUUUGUAAACCUCUGUUAGCAUCGAAGAAGCGAAAGUGACGGUAGGUGCAGAGAAAGCGCCGGCUAACUACGUGCCAGCAGCCGCGGUAAUACGUAGGGCGCGAGCGUUGUCCGGAAUUAUUGGGCGUAAAGAGCUUGUAGGGCGGUUGGUCGCGUCUGCUGUGAAAGGCCGGGGCUUAACUCCGGUUUUGCAGUGGGUACGGGCUAACUAGAGUGCAGUAGGGGAGACUGGAAUUCCUGGUGUAGCGGUGGAAUGCACAGAUAUCAGGAGGAACACCGAUGGCGAAGGCAGGUCUCUGGGCUGUAACUGACGCUGAGAAGCGAAAGCAUGGGGAGCGAACAGGAUUAGAUACCCUGGUAGUCCAUGCCGUAAACGUUGGGCACUAGGUGUGGGGGACAUUCCACGUUUUCCGCGCCGUAGCUAACGCAUUAAGUGCCCCGCCUGGGGAGUACGGCCGCAAGGCUAAAACUCAAAGGAAUUGACGGGGGCCCGCACAAGCGGCGGAGCAUGCGGAUUAAUUCGAUGCAACGCGAAGAACCUUACCAAGGCUUGACAUGCAUUAGAUCGCGUCAGAGAUGGCGUUUCCCUUCGGGGCUGGUGUACAGGUGGUGCAUGGUUGUCGUCAGCUCGUGUCGUGAGAUGUUGGGUUAAGUCCCGCAACGAGCGCAACCCUCGUUCUAUGUUGCCAGCGGUUCGGCCGGGGACUCAUAGGAGACUGCCGGGGUCAACUCGGAGGAAGGUGGGGAUGACGUCAAAUCAUCAUGCCCCUUAUGUCUUGGGCUUCACGCAUGCUACAAUGGCCGGUACAGAGGGUUGCGAUACUGUGAGGUGGAGCUAAUCCCUUAAAGCCGGUCUCAGUUCGGAUUGGGGUCUGCAACUCGACCCCAUGAAGUCGGAGUCGCUAGUAAUCGCAGAUCAGCAACGCUGCGGUGAAUACGUUCCCGGGCCUUGUACACACCGCCCGUCA
RNAcentral lists this ribosomal RNA (1370 nucleotides) under uncultured bacterium. RNAcentral describes it as "bacterial SSU rRNA". It matches the Rfam family "Bacterial small subunit ribosomal RNA", at positions 40 to 1399 of the family's 1533-position model. The record is from RNAcentral.